UCUUUUGAUUGAUGCCGUCUUUGUUGCCACAUAUAAUGCAACCUGCAUUGAGAAACCCAUUGAUCGAUCAGAGAAUGUCAAUGAAUAGAGUCUAGCUGCUCUCAAUAUUAAGUUACCCAGCUGAUUGGCCAUUAAGGUGAAUGUUACGAACAGAAACCGAGAAGCCAAAAAUGGCAGACAAAGAAGGGAAGGAAUAGAGAUUCCAGAGAGAAGAAGAGUUUGAGAAGAAGGAAGAAGAAUCAACAGAAAAGAGAGAGAGAGAGAAUAAUUCCUCAACAAUUUUCAUUAACCACUCAAUUACCUCAGCCAAAAGCAGAACAUCAUAUAUAAGGGAAGAUAACAGCAAAAAGAAAAUUGUUGGAUGAAACGCUCCAUAUCAUCGAGAUGUCAAAACACAUCGUUUUGCUUGGUAUUCAUUUCGGUUCGUACCAGUGAAGUAGAUAAAAUAUGAUGCCUUUUGAAACAAGAAAACAAGAUAAUUAUAUGUAGCUAAUUUCUGAUAACUUAGCAGGACAAACGGACUGCUUAAACGGCCUAUACAGAUUCCUUGUGAAAAACUUUGUUUCAGAAUCACUAUAUGUUAACAAAUCAGGUUGUUUGUAGGUAGAA
Gossypium arboreum is the source of this 609-nucleotide long non-coding RNA. RefSeq lists it as uncharacterized. The record is from RefSeq and is a predicted model, not a curated record. The transcript has 2 exons. NCBI's taxonomy places the organism in Eukaryota, Viridiplantae, Streptophyta, Magnoliopsida, Malvales, Malvaceae.